This 372-nucleotide ribosomal RNA is filed under the name uncultured organism. RNAcentral describes it as "partial 16S ribosomal RNA". It matches the Rfam family "Bacterial small subunit ribosomal RNA", at positions 527 to 896 of the family's 1533-position model. The record is from RNAcentral.
GUAGGUGGCAAGCGUUGUCCGGAAUUAUUGGGCGUAAAGCGCGCGCAGGCGGUUCUUUAAGUCUGAUGUGAAAGCCCACGGGCUCAACCGUGGAGGGUCAUUGGAAACUGGAGAACUUGAGUACAGAAGAGGAAAGCGGAAUUCCACGUGUAGCGGUGAAAUGCGUAGAGAUGUGGAGGAACACCAGUGGCGAACGCGGCUUUCUGGUCUGUAACUGACGCUGAGGCGCGAAAGCGUGGGGAGCAAACAGGAUUAGAUACCCUGGUAGUCCACGCCGUAAACGAUGAGUGCUAAGUGUUAGGGGGUUUCCGCCCCUUAGUGCUGCAGCUAACGCAUUAAGCACUCCGCCUGGGGAGUACGGCCGCAAGGCUG